AAAAAAAAGUACACAUGUCAACAAACCCCCCCCCUUCCACAUAUCAUAAGAAGAGAGAAAAGUCUACUUUAUAUAUUUAAAAUAUAUUUAUAUUUUUUUUACUUAUUUCUUUAUUCGUUUUGCAAUUUUUUGAACAAUAAAAUAGAUUAUCAAACUUCAAAUGAUGAUGGUUAGUGUGAUAAGGAUUUGAUAGUGCAUAAUUAGAAAAUAGUGAACCAAAUUGAAAUAAUCUAAAAGAAAAUGAUCUAAAAUAUAAAAAGACAAAAAAGAGGACACAUGUCAACAAACCCCC
This 292-nucleotide long non-coding RNA is filed under the name Brassica napus (rape). Its description in RNAcentral is "long non-coding RNA (BNAP_LNC013905)". The record is from RNAcentral. Lineage: Eukaryota; Viridiplantae; Streptophyta; Magnoliopsida; Brassicales; Brassicaceae.